AAGGGGAAUCCGACUGUUUAA
This 21-nucleotide small nuclear RNA is filed under the name Arabidopsis thaliana (thale cress). RNAcentral describes it as "snRNA_00551". The record is from RNAcentral. Lineage: Eukaryota; Viridiplantae; Streptophyta; Magnoliopsida; Brassicales; Brassicaceae.